Molecule: ribosomal RNA, 479 nt
Filed under: uncultured bacterium
Lineage: Bacteria
Description: bacterial SSU rRNA
Rfam family: Bacterial small subunit ribosomal RNA
Source: RNAcentral
UUCUGGCUCAGGAUGAACGCUGGCGGCAUGGAUUAGGCAUGCAAGUCGAACGUACUCCCUUCGGGGAGAAGUGGCGAAAGGGUGAGUAACACGUGAGCAACCUGCCUCCGGAUCCGGAAUAAUCCAGGGAAACUUGGUCUAAAACCGGAUGAAGACAUUGGGCCGCAUGGUCUGGUGUUAAAAAUAUUUAUAGGUCCGGAGAGGGGCUCGCGGCCCAUUAGCUUGUUGGCGGGGUAAUGGCCCACCAAGGCUACGACGGGUAGGUGGUCUGAGAGGAUGGUCACCCACACUGGGACUGAGACACUGCCCAGACUCCUACGGGAGGCUGCAGUCGAGAAUCUUCCGCAAUGGGCGCAAGCCUGACGGAGCGAUGCCGCGUGAGGGAUGAAGGCCUUCGGGUUGUAAACCUCUGUCAUCCGGGACGAAAACAAUGACGGUACCGGAAAGGAAGCCACGGCUAACCACGUGCCAGCAGCGGC